Molecule: ribosomal RNA, 426 nt
Filed under: uncultured bacterium
Lineage: Bacteria
Description: partial 16S ribosomal RNA
Rfam family: Bacterial small subunit ribosomal RNA
Source: RNAcentral
UGGGGAAUAUUGGACAAUGGGCGAAAGCCUGAUCCAGCCAUGCCGCGUGUGUGAAGAAGGUCUUCGGAUUGUAAAGCACUUUAAGUUGGGAGGAAGGGCAUUAACCUAAUACGUUAGUGUUUUGACGUUACCGACAGAAUAAGCACCGGCUAACUCUGUGCCAGCAGCCGCGGUAAUACAGAGGGUGCAAGCGUUAAUCGGAAUUACUGGGCGUAAAGCGCGCGUAGGUGGUUUGUUAAGUUGGAUGUGAAAUCCCCGGGCUCAACCUGGGAACUGCAUUCAAAACUGACUGACUAGAGUAUGGUAGAGGGUGGUGGAAUUCCUGUGUAGCGGUGAAAUGCGUAGAUAUAGGAAGGAACACCAGUGGCGAAGGCGACCACCUGGACUAAUACUGACACUGAGGUGCGAAAGCGUGGGGAGCAAACA